This 327-nucleotide ribosomal RNA is filed under the name Triticum aestivum (bread wheat). RNAcentral's name for it is "partial small subunit ribosomal RNA". Lineage: Eukaryota; Viridiplantae; Streptophyta; Magnoliopsida; Poales; Poaceae. The record is from RNAcentral.
AUGGUGGUCAAACUAUUAGAUAGUGGUUGGGAGGUGAUUUACUUUGUUGCUGAACACAAUCAUGCAUUGGUUGACAAACCAUCUUUGAUUAAGUACCCGCGAUCACAUCAAGGGAUCCCCCGAAAGAGAGGGCCUUCCUUACACAUCUCCACAAUUUGCAAUAUACCUACAGGUCGAAUGAUGCACAUCAUGUCGGAUUACUAUGGUAUAGAGCUGAUUGUCCCUUAUGGUACUAAGCAUAUUUCAAACCUAAAGUCGGAGUUGAACAAGGAUGCGACGAAGGAAGGUGAUAUGAUUGAGACAGUUGCCUACUUUAAAGAUCAGCAA